UAACAUGGUUCGAUGUAGAAGGAGCAGACUCCUGCAAAACCAAAGGAACCAAACACAGAGCAUAAACACAAAUGUUUUAUGCAAGAAACAUAGCUUCAACACAGUUAUUUAAUCAUAGAAAGUUACCGCAUCUUUCUUGUUUUCUUUCAAUUACUUGGACUGGUUGCUUGUCCUGUCUAAGAGAUUGCUCGAAGAAGAACUCAUAACCGCUUCUUCUGUGGCCUGCAAAACCAAUGGAACCAAACAAAGAGCAUAAACACAAAUGUUUUUUGUAAAAGACAUAGCUUCAACACAGUUAUUUAAUCGUAGAAGGUUACCGCAUCUUUCUUGUUUUCUUUCACUUCCUUUGCCUGCUUGCUUGUCCUGUCUACAAGAUUGCUCGAAGAAGAACUCAUAACCGCUUCUUCCGUGGCCUGCAAAACCAAAGGAACCAAACAAAGAGCAUAAACACAAAUGUUUUAUGCAAAAAACAUAGCUUCAACACAGUUAUUUAAUCAUAGAAAGUUACCGCAUCUUUCUUAUUUUCUUUCACUUCUUAACCGCUUCUUCUGUGGCCUGCAAAACCAAAAGAACCAAACACAGAGCAUAAACACAAAUGUUUUAUGCAAAAAACAUAGCUUCAACACAGUUAUUUAAUCAUAGAAAGUUACCGCAUCUUUCUUGUUUUCUUUCAAUUACUUGGACUGGUUGCUUGUCCUGUCUAAGAGAUUGCUCGAAGAAGAACUCAUAACCGCUUCUUCCGUGGCCUGCAAAACCAAAGAAACCAAACACAGAGCAUAAACACAA
Molecule: long non-coding RNA, 786 nt
Filed under: Brassica napus (rape)
Lineage: Eukaryota; Viridiplantae; Streptophyta; Magnoliopsida; Brassicales; Brassicaceae
Description: long non-coding RNA (BNAP_LNC023781)
Source: RNAcentral